This 253-nucleotide ribosomal RNA is filed under the name uncultured bacterium. RNAcentral describes it as "partial 16S ribosomal RNA". It matches the Rfam family "Bacterial small subunit ribosomal RNA", at positions 524 to 776 of the family's 1533-position model. The record is from RNAcentral.
UACGGGGGGGGCAAGCGUUGUUCGGAAUUACUGGGCGUAAAGGGCUCGUAGGCGGCCAACUAAGUCAGACGUGAAAUCCCUCAGCUUAACUGGGGAACUGCGUCUGAUACUGGAUGGCUUGGAUUCGGGAGAGGAAUGCGGAAUUCCAGGUGUAGCGGUGAAAUGCGUAGAUAUCUGGAGGAACACCGGUGGCGAAGGCGGCGAGCUGGUCCAUUACUGACGCUGAGGCGCGACAGCGUGGGGAGCAAACAGG